UUGUUUUUUUUACUCGUGCAGGAGAUAUGCACAGCCGAUACAUUCCUCAGCAAGAUUACUUCUCAGAGGGACUCUACACGUUCGAUAUUGGGCAGAAUGACCUUGCUGAGCUUCCUAUGCCUCUUUCCCCAAAGCUGACUAAUUGGUGUACAGGGAUCCUACUCUGAUGUAAAUAAACUGUAUGACCAAGGUGCUAGCAAGUUCUGGAUUCACAAC
Long non-coding RNA from Zea mays, 216 nucleotides. RefSeq lists it as uncharacterized. Lineage: Eukaryota; Viridiplantae; Streptophyta; Magnoliopsida; Poales; Poaceae. The transcript is spliced from 3 exons. The record is from RefSeq and is a predicted model, not a curated record.